UGGGGAAUUUUGGACAAUGGGCGAAAGCCUGAUCCAGCAAUGCCGCGUGUGUGAAGAAGGCCUUCGGGUUGUAAAGCACUUUUGUCCGGAAAGAAAUCCUUGGCUCUAAUACAGUCGGGGGAUGACGGUACCGGAAGAAUAAGCACCGGCUAACUACGUGCCAGCAGCCGCGGUAAUACGUAGGGUGCAAGCGUUAAUCGGAAUUACUGGGCGUAAAGCGUGCGCAGGCGGUUUGCUAAGACCGAUGUGAAAUCCCCGGGUCUCAACCUGGGAACUGCAUUGGUGACUGGCAGGCUAGAGUAUGGCAGAGGGGGGUAGAAUUCCACGUGUAGCAGUGAAAUGCGUAGAGAUGUGGAGGAAUACCGAUGGCGAAGGCAGCCCCCUGGGCCAAUACUGACGCUCAUGCACGAAAGCGUGGGGGAGCAAAACAGGAUUAGAUACCCUGGUAGUCCACGCCCUAAACGAUGUCAACUAGUUGUUGGGGAUUCAUUCCUUAGUAACGUAGCUAACGCGUGAAGUUGACCGCCUGGGGAGUACGGUCGCAAGAUUAAAACUCAAGGAAUUGACGGGGUCAUAGCUG
This 580-nucleotide ribosomal RNA is filed under the name uncultured bacterium. RNAcentral describes it as "partial 16S ribosomal RNA". It matches the Rfam family "Bacterial small subunit ribosomal RNA", at positions 355 to 932 of the family's 1533-position model. The record is from RNAcentral.